UAGUCCACGCCGUAAACGAUGGUCACUAGCUGUUCGAACUUAGGUUUGAGUGGCUAAGCGAAAGUGAUAAGUGACCCACCUGGGGAGUACGUUCGCAAGAAUGAAACUCAAAGGAAUUGACGGGGGCCCGCACAAGCGGUGGAGCAUGUGGUUUAAUUCGAUGAUACGCGAGGAACCUUACCAGGGCUUAAAUGUAAAUUGACAGGUUUAGAGAUAGACUUUUCUUCGGACAAUUUACAAGGUGCUGCAUGGUUGUCGUCAGCUCGUGCCGUGAGGUGUCAGGUUAAGUCCUAUAACGAGCGCAACCCCUGUUGUUAGUUGCCAGCGAGUCAUGUCGGGAACUCUAACAAGACUGCCAGUGCAAACUGAGAGGAAGGUGGGGAUGACGUCAAAUCAUCACGGCCCUUACGUCCUGGGCUACACACGUGCUACAAUGGUAGGUACAGAGGGUAGCGAAGCCGCGAGGUGGAGCCAAAUCUCAUAAAGCCUAUCCCAGUUCGGAUUGGAGU
This 509-nucleotide ribosomal RNA is filed under the name uncultured bacterium. RNAcentral describes it as "bacterial SSU rRNA". It matches the Rfam family "Bacterial small subunit ribosomal RNA", at positions 791 to 1304 of the family's 1533-position model. The record is from RNAcentral.